This 539-nucleotide long non-coding RNA is filed under the name Athene cunicularia (burrowing owl). Its description in RNAcentral is "lncRNA (ENSACUG00000002157.1)". The record is from RNAcentral. Lineage: Eukaryota; Metazoa; Chordata; Aves; Strigiformes; Strigidae.
GGGAUUUGUUCUUGUUAUGACAAAGGAAGUGGAUUUACCAAGUGCCUGGGGGCACACCCCUCCGCGGCUUUCAAUUUGCUCGAGUUGCUAUGAAGAAACAGGACAAAAUGCGUGGGGGUUUUCGCCAUGCGCUUCGGCGCUGCCGGAGCCCUCCCCGGGCCACGGUCUGCAUGGAGAUGCCUUUUCCUCCUGCUCCUCACCAGUCACACCAUGGCCAACGUUAGUGCAGAUCAUCCCUGGCCAGUGGCAAUGCAGCUGUGGGCUGGCACGUUCUGCGCCUACAGGGAGGAAAGGGGACCUUCAGGAAAACAACUCUUGCCAGGUCUCCAGAACUGAACAAACGUCCUGUUUUGCGGAGCCAUGAGCACCACAAAAGAUAACCACAAAUUUCACCUGAUACAUCCACGGUCUGGAAAGAGAUUAUUUUUCUUGACGCUGAGCUGACUUUUCUGACCAUCUCAAAGUAGACUUGGAGUCAACUGUGGGGUCCCAGGAGGGAAAAGGAGAAGCGAGUCAUGUUGUGGCUAUCAGCAUUUCAC